GACAGAGGAGCCAAGCGUUGUCCGGAUUGACUGGGCGUAAAGCGCACGCAGGCGGGUGCGCACGUGGGGUGUGAAAUCGGCGCGCUUAACGCGCCAUCGCCAUCCCAUACGGCGCGCCUGGAGCCUUGCAGAGGGCGGUGGAAUUGCCGGUGUAGUGGUGAAAUACUUAGAUAUGACACAGAACUCCGAUUGCGAAGGCAGCUCACUAAACUGUAACUGACGCUGAGGCACGAAAGCGUGGGGAUCAAACAGG
RNAcentral lists this ribosomal RNA (253 nucleotides) under uncultured bacterium. RNAcentral's name for it is "partial 16S ribosomal RNA". It matches the Rfam family "Bacterial small subunit ribosomal RNA", at positions 524 to 776 of the family's 1533-position model. The record is from RNAcentral.